GCGGCGUCUCGCCGUCCGCCUGGGCUUGGGCCUCGGGGGCGGACCUGGAGCCCGGUGACACUGCGCUCCGGCCUCACCGCUCCGUGCCUUGGCCCUGGCCGCCGCCAUCUUGCGGAGAUUUCAUUCAAACUGGCGCGGUCACCGGAAUAACUCAGAGGGCUGCCUGCCCCGCCCCGGCCCGCGAGGGACUCGGAGCUGGGAGGCUGUAAGGAGCGAGGCGUUCUGACGUCAUGGAGGCCGAGCCCCGCCCUGGUGGCCACCGCGCCUGCGCCGCGCGGUGGGGCGGGCGGGGGCGGAGCUUAGCCCUGGAAACUGGCCCCGCCCUUCGGGGGGCGAGUUACUGGCUUUGACUUCGGAGGAUGCUUGCCAGGAUUCCCAGGAGAUGCAUCGAGGCUCUUCACAAAGACCUGCUAGCCACAAAACACAAAAUAGGCUGUGCGGGGUUAGUGUGCGCAGAGCGUAGAAGAGUGAGCCUGAAGCCCCUCAGGAAAACCGGGUCUUCCAUGUGUAACAACUUUGUUUCCUGACGACAUGGUUACCAGGGACAGGAUCUCAUCAAGUUUUCCAGACUGUCUCUGAAUUCCUGGGUUCAAAUGAUCCUCCUGCCUCAGCUUCCUAGAUAAGCUGGACCGCAGGGAAAUGCCAUGCUGCUUGGUCAUAAGACUCUUUAAGAAGACCGGCUUGCUAUUGAUUUGGAAGAAGAAAAUCAGAAGAGGCUGCGGGGCAGGCACCACAUUCUUUGGGACAGAAGGGACAGAUUAGGAUACUUCUCAAUUUUCAUAACCAUUACUGAAAAAAUUGUGAUUGAAUUGUGGAGCUUAUCUUUUCUGACUUGAAUGUUCUCUGAGAAAUAGAGUACAAUGCACACUAGAUUAAAAAUGUGAAUUUAAGUAAGCA
Molecule: long non-coding RNA, 897 nt
Organism: Mastomys coucha (southern multimammate mouse)
Lineage: Eukaryota; Metazoa; Chordata; Mammalia; Rodentia; Muridae
Exons: 3
Source: RefSeq, a predicted model, not a curated record